UACGUAGGGGGCAAGCGUUAUCCGGAUUUACUGGGUGUAAAGGGAGCGUAGGCGGUGAUGCAAGUCAGUAGUGAAAGCCCGCAGCUCAACUGCGGGACUGCUUUUGAAACUGUAUGACUAGAUUGCAGGAGAGGUAAGUGGAAUUCCUAGUGUAGCGGUGAAAUGCGUAGAUAUUAGGAGGAACACCAGUGGCGAAGGCGGCUUACUGGACUGUAAAUGACGCUGAGGCUCGAAAGCGUGGGGAGCAAACAGG
Molecule: ribosomal RNA, 253 nt
Filed under: uncultured bacterium
Lineage: Bacteria
Description: partial 16S ribosomal RNA
Rfam family: Bacterial small subunit ribosomal RNA
Source: RNAcentral